This 253-nucleotide ribosomal RNA is filed under the name uncultured bacterium. RNAcentral describes it as "partial 16S ribosomal RNA". It matches the Rfam family "Bacterial small subunit ribosomal RNA", at positions 524 to 776 of the family's 1533-position model. The record is from RNAcentral.
UACGUAGGUGGCAAGCGUUAUCCGGAUUUACUGGGUGUAAAGGGCGUGUAGGCGGGAGUGCAAGUCAGAUGUGAAAACUAUGGGCUCAACCCAUAGCCUGCAUUUGAAGCUGUACUUCUUGAGUGCUGGAGAGGCAAUCGGAAUUCCGUGUGUAGCGGUGAAAUGCGUAGAUAUACGGAGGAACACCAGUGGCGAAGGCGGAUUGCUGGACAGUAACUGACGCUGAGGCGCGAAAGCGUGGGGAGCAAACAGG